AUACGGAGGGUGCAAGCGUUAUCCGGAUUCAUUGGGUUUAAAGGGUGCGCAGGCGGAUACUUAAGUCAGUGGUGAAAUCCCGGGGCUCAACCUCGGAACUGCCAUUGAUACUGAAUAUCUGGAAUACGGUUGAAGUGGGCGGAAUGUAGCAUGUAGCGGUGAAAUGCAUAGAGAUGCUACAGAACACCGAUCGCGAAGGCAGCUCACUAAGCCGAUAUUGACGCUCAGGCACGAAAGCGUGGGGAGCGAACAGGAUUAGAAACCCCUGUAGUCC
This 274-nucleotide ribosomal RNA is filed under the name uncultured bacterium. RNAcentral's name for it is "partial 16S ribosomal RNA". It matches the Rfam family "Bacterial small subunit ribosomal RNA", at positions 523 to 796 of the family's 1533-position model. The record is from RNAcentral.